This 266-nucleotide ribosomal RNA is filed under the name Streptomyces maritimus. RNAcentral describes it as "partial 16S ribosomal RNA". It matches the Rfam family "Bacterial small subunit ribosomal RNA", at positions 221 to 498 of the family's 1533-position model. The record is from RNAcentral. Lineage: Bacteria; Bacillati; Actinomycetota; Actinomycetes; Kitasatosporales; Streptomycetaceae.
UGUAUGUGCCUCGCGGCCUAUCAGCUAGUUGGUGAGGUAACGGCUCACCAAGGCGACGACGGGUAGCCGGCCUGAGAGGGCGACCGGCCACACUGGGACUGAGACACGGCCCAGACUCCUACGGGAGGCAGCAGUGGGGAAUAUUGCACAAUGGGCGAAAGCCUGAUGCAGCGACGCCGCGUGAGGGAUGACGGCCUUCGGGUUGUAAACCUCUUUCAGCAGGGAAGAAGCGAAAGUGAUCGUACGCUGCAGAUUAAGGUUGAGCA